This is a long non-coding RNA of Astatotilapia calliptera (eastern happy), 1065 nucleotides long. The record is from Ensembl. NCBI's taxonomy places the organism in Eukaryota, Metazoa, Chordata, Actinopteri, Cichliformes, Cichlidae.
GUUUCCGUUAGCAUAGCUUCCUUACUAAAGCAGGGGGAUACAGUAACAUGCAUGAAUCGGUUUCUAACCAACAAACCUUUACUGAUGUGAUUAUUGUGUGGUGCUACAAAGGAGUGUCUUCAUAAGUAAAUACAGCAACAAACAUCGCAAUCUUAGCAUAUGGACCUUAUACAGUGUUACGGCUGUGACCGUAAUUGUGUGUGGAUUUGAGUGUCUAGGUGCUCCUCCGGGAUUGACGAUUUGGCGUUGGUAAUUUGUCAUGGUCGCGAUCUUUUUCCCCCCCCGUUGUAAAUAGUUUGGCGCCUUGCGUUGUAAAUAAAUAUCAUUUUGCUUUAAAGAAAAUAGUGGUCGUUUUGGGAUGAUUUUUGUGGAAACCCGUAUUAGUUUUUUCUCGUGUGUUUUUUUUACCUUAUUUUUAUUUUCCUUAUUUUUAUUUUCCUUAUCUUUGUUUUUCUACGUUGCACCCCGGUUGCCUAGGCCGGGGUGUAACAUAUGGGGGCUCGUCCAAUCACUGUGGGGUCCGAGGACCGCUUCAGCCUCCGUCUGUCUUCGCUGGAGGGUCCGUGGGACCGCUCCAGCCUUCGUCCGCCUUCGCUGGAGGGUCCGUGGGACCACUCCAGCCUUCGUCGUCUGCUGGAGGGUCAGGGGGACCGCUCCAGCCUCCAUCAGUUUCAUCUGCCUCCGCUGGAGGGUCCGUGGGACCGCUUCAGUCUUCGUUUGCCUUCGCUGGGGGGUCCGAGGGACCGCCUCAGCCUUCGUCGUCUGCUGGAGGGUCCGUGGGACCGCUCCAGCCUUCAUCCACCUUCGCUGGAGGAUCCGAGGGACCGCUCCAGCCUUCAUCAGCUUCGUUUGUCUUCGCUGGAGGGUCCGAGGCACCGCUCCAGCCUUCGUCUGCCUUCGCUGGAGGGUCCGUGGGACCGCUCCAGACUUCAUCCGUCUUCGCUGGAGGGUCCGUGGGACCGCUCCAGCCUCCACCAGCCUUCAUCCGCCUUCGCUGGAGUGUCCAAGGGACCGCUCCAGCCUUCAUCAGCUUCGUUUGUCUUCGCUGGAGGAUCCGAGGGCCCG